RNAcentral lists this long non-coding RNA (1278 nucleotides) under Coffea arabica (coffee). Its description in RNAcentral is "long non-coding RNA (CARA_LNC000978)". The record is from RNAcentral. Lineage: Eukaryota; Viridiplantae; Streptophyta; Magnoliopsida; Gentianales; Rubiaceae.
UCAGAUAACUUUCAAUUAAAAAACAGAACUAGCGGAGACAAAAUUGGUGAUAUGUCGCCGUACAACUACGAAAAGUGAGGUAGAUAUCCAACAAUCAAUAGUCAGACAAAAUAGGUCAGUUUUCAAGCCACUAGAUAUUUCUAAAACCACUGUCCCUGGCCAACUGAUUAUCUUCCUAGAAGUCCUAUAUAUCAACAAUUGGUCACUCGAUCUUAAGUAUUGAAUGAAGGACAAGAAUUUGCGAGGGAAUUGUUGAUUGAAUUGAUCAAUAAAUGAGUUAUGUCAGCAGAGUUUCUAGGGGGGGAACUGGUACAGCUGCCCAGGGCCAAGAGGACCAAUGCUCCAAAUACAGCAGCUCUAGCCUUUUCGGUCUUCCUCCAAGUUGGCGUAGCAAAAGGUCCUCCCGUACCAGUAGUAUUGUGCAAGAAGAUGCAAGAAUUUCGAGAGCAGGUGGUCAGGGAGAAGAAGAAGAUAGGAAAAAGCUGGUGGAUGAGUCUUUUCAGAAGGUCAUGUUUUUGAAUUGCUGGUCACAGAGCUAGCAUUUUUAGACUUAAUAUUCGAGCAACUACAAUUGUGUUGAAAGGAAUAAAUGCGACUAUAGCAAUGAGAUUCAAGACAAUAAUUUCAUUACCAUUGAUGUUUUGCUGCGUUAUUAUUUGUUUAGAUGAUUGGCAACCAAUUCCACUCUAAACUAGUACAUAAUAGCUGCAAAAUACCUUAAAAAGCUCAUGUUUUUCAGAGCCAUCUCAAGUUUGCGACACGCCCUGUUUGAUCUCCUCUUCUUCUUCUUCUAUAGUCUAUGCGUGAAGCCCACAAAUGAUGUGGCCAAAUUUGCUGUGAUAAGAGUAGUAUUCGCUCAGCGGCUUUUUCUAUUCUAGUCAAUAGAGGCCAAAUUUCCUCGUGCGGUGAAAAUCAUGCGAGAUUACGACUACUAGUUAGAUUCUGCAGUUAUAAUGUCAGAUUAUAUAUAUUACAGCAGUAUUUCUCAAAUCCCUCCUUGUACUUCUCCCGUCUCCACCUUGACAUGGUUACUUUGUUGUCACCGGCUCCAAUGAUUAGAUAACGGUGCAAUUUUUUUCCCCUUGUUUUCUGGUUCAUUCAACUUGUAGUACUAUAAACUUGUAGUGAAAAUAUCAAUAUGAGUUUGUUUGGAUAGGAGGUUAUUUGAGAUAAUUACUGUAAUACUUUUGAUGAUGUGAUGUAUGUGAGAUAAAAAAGUAGUUGAAAAUUGUAUUUAUGACGUAAGUAGGAAAAAAUUUGAAAUUUUGUAUCAAGGAG